UACGUAGGGUGCAAGCGUUGUCCGGAAUUAUUGGGCGUAAAGAGCUCGUAGGUGGCGUGUCGCGUCUGCCGUGAAAGCCCAUGGCUUAACUGUGGGUCUGCGGUGGAUACGGGCAGGCUGGAGGCUGGUAGGGGCAAGCGGAAUUCCUGGUGUAGCGGUGAAAUGCGCAGAUAUCAGGAGGAACACCGGUGGCGAAGGCGGGUCUCUGGGCAGUAACUGACGCUGAGGAGCGAAAGCGUGGGGAGCGAACAGG
This 253-nucleotide ribosomal RNA is filed under the name uncultured bacterium. RNAcentral's name for it is "partial 16S ribosomal RNA". It matches the Rfam family "Bacterial small subunit ribosomal RNA", at positions 524 to 776 of the family's 1533-position model. The record is from RNAcentral.